RNAcentral lists this ribosomal RNA (245 nucleotides) under uncultured Methanosaeta sp. RNAcentral's name for it is "partial 16S ribosomal RNA". It matches the Rfam family "Archaeal small subunit ribosomal RNA", at positions 474 to 718 of the family's 1478-position model. Lineage: Archaea; Methanobacteriati; Methanobacteriota; Methanomicrobia; Methanotrichales; Methanotrichaceae. The record is from RNAcentral.
CACCGACGACCCAAAUGAUAACCGUUAUUAUUGGGUCUAAAGGGUCUGUAGCCGGCCAUGUAAGUCCCUUGGGAAAUCUGACAGCUCAACUGUCAGGCUGCUAGGGAAUACUGCUUGGCUUGGGACCGGAAAAGGUGAGAGGUACCUUGAGGGUAGGGGUGAAAUCUUGUAAUCCUCGGGGGACCACCAGUGGCGAAGGCGUCUCACCAGAACGGAUCCGACGGUAAGGGACGAAAGCUAGGAGC